Mauremys mutica (yellowpond turtle) is the source of this 851-nucleotide long non-coding RNA. RefSeq lists it as uncharacterized. The record is from RefSeq and is a predicted model, not a curated record. Lineage: Eukaryota; Metazoa; Chordata; Testudines; Geoemydidae. The transcript has 3 exons.
UUAUCCACUGUCCUCCAUAGUCUGCAAUAUCUUACUGUACGGGGAGACUUUGACAAACCAGUAAAGUGCCUGAAACCACUAUGGCUUAUUGUUAAAGAUAGCCUAGUCAGCAAGCUGUUAAAAGCAAGUCUCAGCUUGACCAAGGCAGGAGGGGAGGGGGAUUUAGGGUGCCACCGAAAGGGAAGCUUGACCCCCACAUCCUUCCUGAUAAGAACUGGGUUAAAAGUUGCUGAUACAUGUGUUUUCAAAGAGUAGGAUAUGUCCCAGGAAUGUCUAUUGAGGUCUCAAGGCGGCAAGUUCUAGAAAGACCCACACCUGGUUAAUCAAUAAUCAGAAGGAACCUCUUUGCUUGAAACUGCUUACUUAACAAGGUUUCUUUAAUUACUAAUGUAUAAAUAAGGGGAAAAAGCUUGAGACAAGUGGGACUCAUUUUGGGACUGGCCUCUCCCUCUGGAUGCAUCUUGUGUUUCCCAGCGGCAGACGGGCUGUCGCUGUAUCACUCGAAAGCCACACUCAGCUUUGCUCUUUGCUAAGGUCAGACCAUGUGCUUGGAGCUGUAUGUGAUACUGAAGAAGGCAUGGUCCCUGCCCAAAGAAGUUCAUAGCUGAGAGGCCCAAACAUACAAGAUGGAAAUCAACAGGGAAAGCAAGACAAAGGACCUUCCUUCUUCUUAGCAGAUGUCUCCUUCUGUGGACUUAAAUUGAGAUUUGGAUGCAAUUUAUUUCAAUCUUCCAUGUCCUGGUCACACAGAAGUAUGCAUUUCAUCUCCAUGUACAUUUUAAAGUAUGGAAGAAAAGUAUCUUCCUGCAUUACUGCUUCUGAUUGUAUUAAGAAAAUUAAUAGUUCUUAUU